CACGUUGGCGGCACUGAGCGCCGGAAGUGUAGGGAAGGACGCGAACGCCGCUGCACACUUCCGGUAUCGCCAUCUUUACACUUCGGAAGCGUGUGGUGUUGCGUCCUGUUUUAUCGCGUUAUUUUACGGAGACAUUGACUUGGUUCUCGUACGAGCUGCAAAAUGCCAGGUUUUAGCAGCGUUGGCACGUUCAAAAUCUUCAUUGGCAAUUUAGCCGACAAAACCUCAAAUGCUGACAUCAAGCCACUCUUUGAGAAGUAUGGCAAGGUUGUGGAAUGCGAUGUGGUAAAGAAUUAUGGCUUUGUGCAUAUGGAAAAUGAAGAAGCAGGACGAAACGCAAUACAGAAUCUGAAUGGGCACAUUGUCCACGGACAACCAAUCAAGUGCGAGGCGGCGAAGAGUCGUAAGGGACCGAACACUCCCACGACGAAGAUCUUUGUCGGUAAUCUUACAGACAACACGAAGGCGCCGCAAGUACGCGAGCUGUUUGCCAAAUAUGGCACAGUCGUCGAAUGCGACAUCGUAAGAAACUACGGUUUCGUUCAUCUGGAGGCAACCGGGGACGUGAACGAUGCCAUCAAGGAGCUGAACGGGCAGAUCGUCGAUGGCCAACCGAUGAAGGUCCAGAUCUCGACGAGCAGAGUGCGACAGAGGCCAGGCAUGGGGGAUCCGGAGCAAUGCUACCGUUGCGGACGAGGCGGUCACUGGUCCAAGGAAUGUCCCAAAGGAGGUAUGGGAGGUGGUCCAGAUAGGAAUGGAUACAGGGACAGAAUGUUCGGACGUGAUCCUUAUCCACCACCACCACCACCACCAUUCCUGCGGGACCGACUCAUGGGAGGUGGCCGCUUUGGGGAUUACGAUACCUACUACGAAAGGAGAGGCUUCGAGGACAGCAGGGAUCUCUACGAGAGGCGGUUUACGGGUAUGGGAUCCAUGCGUGACACUGGCUUCUCCCGUGGCAAUGAGUAUGGGAUGUUCAGCCGCCGAUCACCUCCUCCGAGUGGCAACAACGGCCGGUUCAGUGCACCUCAGGCGUACCAUCUUUGUCCAUGAACGCGGGCAACCCUAGAGAGACAGUCCCGGGUCAGCGUUCAAGUCGUACAAGACGCUCCCUAUUACGUACAUCACUCAGCCGGGAGUGGCGCGGAGGCCUGGGAUGAAGAAACGUUCCUAAGGAAUGCGAACUAGAAUUUCUUGAUCGCACUACCGCGAACCAGGAUGCAAUCUGCAAUUUUAAAUAAAAACUCUCGUACGCUGUAGAUAGAGAAAAAGAAAGAAAAAAGAAAAAAAAAGAAACAGGGCUGGCGCGAUUUUGGAAUGGCACAUCGAAUCGAUUGUCUUUGAAACGUGUCGUAAGUAGAAACCAGCUCUCCAGACGAUUUGGAUUAGUAAGUUAGUUACACGUAUUGGCGCCCUUCCGUACUCAUUUUUUUCCAAGUUUUCCAAGCCAGUUUCAAAUACUUCCGAGCGAAUAAUUUUACGAAGUUUUCUUUCUCUAUAGUUGCGGUUUCCUUAAUGCCGACUAGAACUGAUGCCUUUAGACACACGAGGAUUAUUCCUUUCGUCGGUUUAACUUGCAUAUCGAGUGUUACCGACAACUAUAUAAGUCAGACAUAACAAAUGUGUCAAACUGGCAACAUCGUUGAAAUUUAUGGAAUCGAGAUGUCCGUUUCUUCUUUUUCUUUUUUUUUCCUUUUUUUCUUAAGCAACGUGAAAAAGUUGUAUAUUUUCCUUUAUCUUCAUACGCAAUACGUAUCUUGUAGUUGUAAGAUGUUUAUUUCCCAAUCAAAACUGCAAAAUGAUAAAUUUUUUUCUUUUCGUUAUUUUGUUAAUAUGAUUGUAUUUGCAUUAGGCAGCAAACUUUUUAUGUCAAUAAUUGAGAUCGUAUCAAUGAAUAUAUCAAUUUAAAGUACAUUCAUCUGUUCUAAUUUCGUGGUAUUUUCACCGUUGUCUUAAAUUACGCCUAAAAUUGGAGUGCUAUGGACAAAAAAAACGUAUAAAAAUGACGCGAAAAGAUUUCGAGCUCGUUUGUGCUCCAUCGAGCUUGUAAUCCAUAGUUCUUGAAGCUGACUUCUACUCACGAGGUUCAAAGCUUUUCAUGUAUGUAAAUCCACUCGCAAACUUCAAAUAGAGAAGAGAAUUGAUUGAAUUUCUCAGUUUUUCUA
This 2165-nucleotide unclassified non-coding RNA is filed under the name Ooceraea biroi (clonal raider ant). Its description in RNAcentral is "rNA-binding protein lark, transcript variant X1". The record is from RNAcentral. Lineage: Eukaryota; Metazoa; Arthropoda; Insecta; Hymenoptera; Formicidae.